This 2894-nucleotide ribosomal RNA is filed under the name Escherichia coli O157. Its description in RNAcentral is "bacterial LSU rRNA". It matches the Rfam family "Bacterial large subunit ribosomal RNA". Lineage: Bacteria; Pseudomonadati; Pseudomonadota; Gammaproteobacteria; Enterobacterales; Enterobacteriaceae. The record is from RNAcentral.
ACUAAGCGUACACGGUGGAUGCCCUGGCAGUCAGAGGCGAUGAAGGACGUGCUAAUCUGCGAUAAGCGUCGGUAAGGUGAUAUGAACCGUUAUAACCGGCGAUUUCCGAAUGGGGAAACCCAGUGUGUUUCGACACACUAUCAUUAACUGAAUCCAUAGGUUAAUGAGGCGAACCGGGGGAACUGAAACAUCUAAGUACCCCGAGGAAAAGAAAUCAACCGAGAUUCCCCCAGUAGCGGCGAGCGAACGGGGAGGAGCCCAGAGCCUGAAUCAGUGUGUGUGUUAGUGGAAGCGUCUGGAAAGGCGCGCGAUACAGGGUGACAGCCCCGUACACAAAAAUGCACAUGCUGUGAGCUCGAUGAGUAGGGCGGGACACGUGGUAUCCUGUCUGAAUAUGGGGGGACCAUCCUCCAAGGCUAAAUACUCCUGACUGACCGAUAGUGAACCAGUACCGUGAGGGAAAGGCGAAAAGAACCCCGGCGAGGGGAGUGAAAAAGAACCUGAAACCGUGUACGUACAAGCAGUAGGAGCACAGAGCAAUCUGUGUGACUGCGUACCUUUUGUAUAAUGGGUCAGCGACUUAUAUUCUGUAGCAAGGUUAACCGAAUAGGGGAGCCGAAGGGAAACCGAGUCUUAACUGGGCGUUAAGUUGCAGGGUAUAGACCCGAAACCCGGUGAUCUAGCCAUGGGCAGGUUGAAGGUUGGGUAACACUAACUGGAGGACCGAACCGACUAAUGUUGAAAAAUUAGCGGAUGACUUGUGGCUGGGGGUGAAAGGCCAAUCAAACCGGGAGAUAGCUGGUUCUCCCCGAAAGCUAUUUAGGUAGCGCCUCGUGAAUUCAUCUCCGGGGGUAGAGCACUGUUUCGGCAAGGGGGUCAUCCCGACUUACCAACCCGAUGCAAACUGCGAAUACCGGAGAAUGUUAUCACGGGAGACACACGGCGGGUGCUAACGUCCGUCGUGAAGAGGGAAACAACCCAGACCGCCAGCUAAGGUCCCAAAGUCAUGGUUAAGUGGGAAACGAUGUGGGAAGGCCCAGACAGCCAGGAUGUUGGCUUAGAAGCAGCCAUCAUUUAAAGAAAGCGUAAUAGCUCACUGGUCGAGUCGGCCUGCGCGGAAGAUGUAACGGGGCUAAACCAUGCACCGAAGCUGCGGCAGCGACACUGUGUGUUGUUGGGUAGGGGAGCGUUCUGUAAGCCUGUGAAGGUGUGCUGUGAGGCAUGCUGGAGGUAUCAGAAGUGCGAAUGCUGACAUAAGUAACGAUAAAGCGGGUGAAAAGCCCGCUCGCCGGAAGACCAAGGGUUCCUGUCCAACGUUAAUCGGGGCAGGGUGAGUCGACCCCUAAGGCGAGGCCGAAAGGCGUAGUCGAUGGGAAACAGGUUAAUAUUCCUGUACUUGGUGUUACUGCGAAGGGGGGACGGAGAAGGCUAUGUUGGCCGGGCGACGGUUGUCCCGGUUUAAGCGUGUAGGCUGGUUUUCCAGGCAAAUCCGGAAAAUCAAGGCUGAGGCGUGAUGACGAGGCACUACGGUGCUGAAGCAACAAAUGCCCUGCUUCCAGGAAAAGCCUCUAAGCAUCAGGUAACAUCAAAUCGUACCCCAAACCGACACAGGUGGUCAGGUAGAGAAUACCAAGGCGCUUGAGAGAACUCGGGUGAAGGAACUAGGCAAAAUGGUGCCGUAACUUCGGGAGAAGGCACGCUGAUAUGUAGGUGAAGUCCCUCGCGGAUGGAGCUGAAAUCAGUCGAAGAUACCAGCUGGCUGCAACUGUUUAUUAAAAACACAGCACUGUGCAAACACGAAAGUGGACGUAUACGGUGUGACGCCUGCCCGGUGCCGGAAGGUUAAUUGAUGGGGUCAGCGCAAGCGAAGCUCUUGAUCGAAGCCCCGGUAAACGGCGGCCGUAACUAUAACGGUCCUAAGGUAGCGAAAUUCCUUGUCGGGUAAGUUCCGACCUGCACGAAUGGCGUAAUGAUGGCCAGGCUGUCUCCACCCGAGACUCAGUGAAAUUGAACUCGCUGUGAAGAUGCAGUGUACCCGCGGCAAGACGGAAAGACCCCGUGAACCUUUACUAUAGCUUGACACUGAACAUUGAGCCUUGAUGUGUAGGAUAGGUGGGAGGCUUUGAAGUGUGGACGCCAGUCUGCAUGGAGCCGACCUUGAAAUACCACCCUUUAAUGUUUGAUGUUCUAACGUGGACCCGUGAUCCGGGUUGCGGACAGUGUCUGGUGGGUAGUUUGACUGGGGCGGUCUCCUCCUAAAGAGUAACGGAGGAGCACGAAGGUUGGCUAAUCCUGGUCGGACAUCAGGAGGUUAGUGCAAUGGCAUAAGCCAGCUUGACUGCGAGCGUGACGGCGCGAGCAGGUGCGAAAGCAGGUCAUAGUGAUCCGGUGGUUCUGAAUGGAAGGGCCAUCGCUCAACGGAUAAAAGGUACUCCGGGGAUAACAGGCUGAUACCGCCCAAGAGUUCAUAUCGACGGCGGUGUUUGGCACCUCGAUGUCGGCUCAUCACAUCCUGGGGCUGAAGUAGGUCCCAAGGGUAUGGCUGUUCGCCAUUUAAAGUGGUACGCGAGCUGGGUUUAGAACGUCGUGAGACAGUUCGGUCCCUAUCUGCCGUGGGCGCUGGAGAACUGAGGGGGGCUGCUCCUAGUACGAGAGGACCGGAGUGGACGCAUCACUGGUGUUCGGGUUGUCAUGCCAAUGGCACUGCCCGGUAGCUAAAUGCGGAAGAGAUAAGUGCUGAAAGCAUCUAAGCACGAAACUUGCCCCGAGAUGAGUUCUCCCUGACCCUUUAAGGGUCCUGAAGGAACGUUGAAGACGACGACGUUGAUAGGCCGGGUGUGUAAGCGCAGCGAUGCGUUGAGCUAACCGGUACUAAUGAACCGUGAGGCUUAACC